CAGCAGCCCUGAGCGAUGCAGGACGUGGGCCCCUGCGGCUGCCAGCUCAAGGGGAAGGGCAGGAGCCCGUCUGCCGUCUGCUCAUGCGGGGGGCACUCUGGCCUCCUCCACACACCAGCCUGUAGCCACUGGUCUCAGGCAGUCCUUGUACGGCUCCUGGGGCCUCCCAUUCUCGCUAGUCCUGAGCCACUGCUCUGGCCCACAGGACUGGGGAGAAGACAGCAGGAGAACCACACACGUCCUUCUGCAACAAGGUGCAGAAAAAGGUACAAACAUCCCCAUCCUCUGGGAGCUAAGGGUCCAGAAUAGUUUUGCCUUUUCUAGGAUUUCGCAUAAAUGGAACCAUGUGAAACGCACCCGUCGUUUUGCUCAGCAAACCACUCUGAGAUUCCUCCAGACCGUUGUCACGUGUGUCCUGUGCGCUGCCAGGCUGCCCUGCUUUCCAUUCCCCCAGGCAGAGCAAGAGGCCUUCCGCAUCCUCUCCAGCAUCCGACGCCGACUGCAGUCCCAUGGGGAGGUGUGCAGUGGCAUCUCUUUGUGGCUGUAACUUGCUAUUUCCCGG
Bubalus bubalis (water buffalo) is the source of this 562-nucleotide long non-coding RNA. RefSeq lists it as uncharacterized. Lineage: Eukaryota; Metazoa; Chordata; Mammalia; Artiodactyla; Bovidae. The record is from RefSeq and is a predicted model, not a curated record. The transcript has 3 exons.